This 263-nucleotide long non-coding RNA is filed under the name Setaria viridis. Its description in RNAcentral is "long non-coding RNA (SVIR_LNC000060)". The record is from RNAcentral. Lineage: Eukaryota; Viridiplantae; Streptophyta; Magnoliopsida; Poales; Poaceae.
GGGUGUGUGGAGACGUAACGAACAAGGAUAUGAACUAUCUAUGCCGGUAUGGAUGCUACUCUUGUGUAUAUAUUUUUUAUGAGAUCCUAUGCUAUUUGCAAAUGUUAUGCGGAUGUUAUUUACUAUCUUAUUGCAUUCAGGUUCUCUUAUUGGACUUCAAUGUGGUAGAGACUACCAAAAUAAAACAACGCCUUAAAAUGGGAAGAGAAGGUAGUAUGCGAGAGAGAACGGAUAAUAAUUAAUAUUGUUGUCUAGUUCAAACC